This is a long non-coding RNA of Acinonyx jubatus (cheetah), 10269 nucleotides long. RefSeq lists it as uncharacterized. Lineage: Eukaryota; Metazoa; Chordata; Mammalia; Carnivora; Felidae. The record is from RefSeq and is a predicted model, not a curated record. The transcript has 2 exons.
GACAAUGGGGAGGUCUGGAAAAGUCACUGAGGCUCCUGGAGACAGUAGGCAAAAGCUAAGAAUGAGCAUCGGGAUGCCCAUGGGGCCAGUGAGGGGCUGUUAUGCCCAGAAUUCGUGAUCCCCAAAGACCACCAGGGAGCCGAGUCCGAUGCAAAAGCAAAGAGCCUUUAUUCGAGCUAGCUCGAGCUCAAUCCCCUACCUGCACUGACGCAGAGGUGAGAUACCGGAGAGAGAGAGCGGGUUUCAAGAGCACAAAGGUUUUAUAAGGAUCAUGGCCUUAGCCAAUUGGCUGGGGAAGGGUCGUGGCCUCAGCCGAUUGGCUGGGGAAGGAUAGAACAAUGGCUGCCAAGGUGUGGUCCCAGAUCAGCUACUGAAUCUGAAACUCUGGGGGUGGGGCUCAGCAAUCUGUGUUUGAACAAGUCUUCCAGGAGAUUCUGAUGCACCUGAAGUUUAAGCACCACUGUGUCUGAGGGUCUCUAACAUGUUUGGUCUCAAUAUAUACAGAACGUUUCUCACUGGUCACCUAUUAACCAUUGGCUGUCAGACUUGCUGUGCUGUAUAAAUACCUAGCAUCAAACACCAUCCCCAGAGACUCUGAUUUAAUUGGUUUGGGGAGGGGUAAAAUGCUCCCAGGUCAUUCUAAGCCUGGACAGGGUUGAGGGCUCCUGCCUCUGGCCCCUACUUGAGAGAAGCCCUCCCUCUUCUACUCACACUUUCCAUGCCUCUCACACUCCCCUUCCUCCCACCUUAGACUUCGGAAGAAUGCAUCAAUCGGUAGCCUGCUUUCUUAGAAAACAUAAGUUACUCCAGGGGAGGAGGCGUGGUCUGAGGUUUGAGCGGGAACUUCUUUCUGAGGCCAUGUCAGGAAUAUAGUUACUAGUCGGCCGGCCUAGGUCUGCUCUUUCUGGCCUGCUGUAGCAGAGGCCGCUGGAUGGACAGCCUUGAUGGGGCCAAAAUGAGGAUAAGAAAUUCAAUGGAGGCCAGUGAGUAAGUGAUAAUGCUGCCUCCCCAGUGCUGGACCAGCCUCUAGGAACCCAGAUUCUGAGGACAAGAGAAGGAGAAGGGGGGAGAAUUUCACAUGCUACUGCACGUUCAUUGGGAAGACCAUGUUUUAAACCAGCAGAGACUGUUACCUGAAAGUAUCAAUAAGCAUUCAAACCUAUUUCUUUCCUUCCUUCCUUCCUUCCUUCCUUCCUUCCUUCCUUUAAGUAGUCUCCAUGCCCAACAUGGGCUUGAACUCAUGACUGCAAGAUCAAGAGUUGCACGCUCUAUUGACUGAACCAGCUGGGAGCCCCCAGACAUAUUUCAUUUUUAGCACAAUACGUGUAGUUUCUCAGAAAACAAGAGAGACAAGUAUUACUUACAAAGUCUCUCCAUGCCCUAGCUAUGUUGGUAUUCCUGGUUUACCACAAGAAACCACUUACAAGCUAAUGGCAGAGGGAAGCCCCCAGUACAUCCACAGUUUGACCGGCAUGAUGAACAAAAAAGUGAGAUUUAACAACAGGACUCUUGGCAAAAAGCAUUUCAUUCUCCCAGCCCUGCCCUUCUGCUCAAGGGCAGGAUACAAGGUACAUGUAAUACCUGGUCACAUGAUGUCACAUGCAAAUCGCAUGCAAAACCUCACCUACUCCCCUUUCUCUGUUCCUUUUCUGUAUUUCCCCAAUGCUGGCAGCAGGAAAGUAGGUGAUCCUUACAACACAGCCAGGAUAAGAGGAACGAAUUAGGAAAAUAUCCUGUGAAAACAUGAUUUCUUUAUUACACUGGGAGCUGAUAAAUGCCUAAAUAAGCUUUACUAUAUUAUUUGAAUGGAACAUUAAAUUUCAUCGGUUUCAUUAUACUGGUGAUAAAGACCAUGUUUUGGGAAGCUAUUCUAGAUGGUGUAAUCCUGAGGAAGAAUAAUUCCAUGCAAAUAGCCCUGUGGGUUGUGGGACCUCCUGCCCAGUGAAAGUCCCCCAGUCAGCUCAUACAUAGUGGUCCACUCAGGGGCUUGGGACACCUGCUCUGGCUUGGCUCAAAAUAAAGUGUUUCUCUACCCACGUGUAUUGUAACUCAGCAUUUCCCUCCAGGAUCUCAGGCUUGGGGAUGACCAUGGCAGGAUUGGAUGGGUGUUUCUGAGACUGAGUUCAAUGCCCUGCUCAGAAUUCCACAACAAGAGAUAAGAAUCAGGAGCGCCUGUGUGGCUGAGCAUCUGACUCUUGAUUUUGGCUCAGGUCAUGAUCUCAACGGCUUGUGAGAUUGAACCCUGUGUUGGGCUCCGUGCUGACAGUGUGGAGCCUGCUUGGGAUUCUGUAUCUCCCUCUCUCUGCCCCUUCCCCACUUGCACUCUCUCUCUCUCUCUCAAAACAAAUAAAUUUAAAAAAAAGUUAAAAGAAAAAACUUUUUUUUCUAUUAAAAUUUCUUUUCGGGUUUUAUCCUUGAAGUCUGUGAGUCUUAUCCCUUUGAAAUAAGGUGAAACAAAAUGCUUGCUGAACUGCAUGGUGCAAACCAAAUAUUUCAGUUGAUCACUGGCAGUCCUAAACUACUGGAAUGAUAUUUGGCUAGGACAACAGUUUAAGGCACAUUGUAUCUAGGGUGAUAAGACAUUCUGUCCUGGAUUAUCAUAAAACUUAUUUACCAUAUUUCAAAAUAUAGAAUGACUAAAGUAAAAAUCUCAGCUUACCAUGGGAAACAGGAAGCUUAAUAAGUAAACUCAAGGCUUUUGUCCCAAAUUAUUUCUUACAUUCAGGUUAUUCCAUUCAUGUUGAGGGAGUUCCAAUGACCUGGUAAUUGCCCUACAAAUUUUAACUUUAUUUAAACUCUACUUUCUGUUUUUCCUCCUUUUUUCACACUAGAUGAUGAUCCACUGACAGAUAUAAUGUAAUCUCUCUCGGUGUUGUCCAAUAUUCUCUCUCCUAACUAUUCAAGGUGAAUUCCAUAUACAGUAGGUCCUAACUUGAGACAUACUAUUCUUUGGUCUGGGUAUGAUUUCUAGGUAAGAUUUAAAUGUUUGCACAAAAAAUUUUUCACUGAUAAACACAAAAUUCAUACUAUCAUCUUGAAAACCCACAGUAGAGUAAAACAGCUCUGAAAAACCAUAAGGGGUUGGGGUCCCUGGGUGGCUCAGUUCACUGAGUGUACAACUUUAGCUCAGGUCAUGAUUUCAUGGCAUGUGAGUUCAAGCUCUGCUUCAGGCUCUCUGCUGUUAGCACGGAGCCCUUUUUGGAUCAUCUAUCUCCCUCUCUCUCUGCCCCUCCUCACUCACUUUCUCUCUCUCUCUCUCUCUCUCUCUCUCUAAAAAACAGACACUUGAAAAAAAUCAUAAGAAGUCUAGGCCAAUACAUGUCAUUGCCCUUGUAAUGUUGGAUAUUUUUGGGAGAUGUGUGCUGCCCAGACUCUACUUACCUUCCUAUUUGGAAGUCAUUCCCCACAUGUGGCAUCUUGGUGGAAAGCAACGCUACAGAAGCCAGAAAAUCUAAAUCCUGCCUCUGCCCACAUCGCAGCCUUUAGGAUUUGAGCAUAAUGCAUAAAUGUUAUGACCUUCCUAGGACAUGGCAUAUGGAGGGUGCAUAUCAACAACAAUGAUAGUUGUUGUUACUGUUGCUUAGCUCUUUGGAGACAUUUGGUCCCAUUCAUCAAUUUUUCUUAAAAAAUUUUUUUAUUACAUUUAUUUAUUUUUGAGAGACAGAGUGAGACAGAGUGUGAGCGGGGGAGGGGCAGAGAGAGAAGGAGACACAGAAUCCGAAGCAGGCUCCAGGCUCUGAGCAAGCGUUCAGCACAGAGCCCAGCGUGGGGCUCGAACCCACAAACUAUGAGAUCAUGACCUGAGCUGAAGUUGGACACUUAACCGACUGAGCCACCCAGGCGCCCCACCAGUGAUCAAUUUUUCAAUUCUGGUGCUCCAGCCUUUCCUUGAGUAUGUGAAAACUCCCAUUUUGUUUUUUAAUUUCUUUAAUGUUUAUUUAUUUUGAGAGAGAGAGAGACAGAGUGUGUGUGUGGGAGAGGGCAGAGAGAGAGGGAGAGAGAGAAUCCCAAGCAGGCUCCUCAUUUUCAGCAUGCAGCCCAAUGCAGAGCUUGAUCCCAUACACCAUGAGAUCAUGACCUGAGCCGAAAUCAAGAGUUGGAUGCUUAACCUCAUAACCUGAGACAAAAUUAGGAUUUGGAUGCCUAACCAACUGAGUCAUGCUGGUGCCCCUCCCAUUUUGUUAAAAGACAGUCAGAACUCAGAUUCUGUUGCUUGCAACCAUGAGAAUUGUAAUUUACAUCCUACUCCUCACCACAAUGUUUUCUAUUUAAAAAAAAAUUUUUUUUUAAUGUUUAUUUUUGAGAGAGAGAGAGAGAGAGCAGCGAGGGGCAGAAAGAGGGAAACAGAGAACUCAAAGCAGGAUCCAGGCUCUUAGCUGUCAGCACAGAGCCAGAUGUGGGGCUCAAACCCACAAACCAUGAGAUCAUGAUCUGAGACAAAGUCAGACACUUAAGUGACUGAGCCACCCAGGUGUUCCCACUGUACUCCCUCUGCAGUGUUUUCCAAGACCCACUUCCAAUACACAUCUUCAUGGGUUAUCAGGGUGAAUGGCACCAAGAAGGAUGUACCAUUUACAAAGAGGGAUGGCAUGUACAUUUCCCCCAUACACCACACCAGUCGCUCCCUCCUCCUCUCCUGCUCUGUCUGGGGCUCUCUCCCACCUGCAGAACCGCAGCAGGAUGAGGCCUCAGGUAGGUCCUGGUUUCCCAUCUCUUCUUUUUGGUUCCUGUUGAGAAAUAGCUUUAUAAUACCCAGCUGGAAAGCGUCAGGCUGUGAUAUAAGGGGUGAGAUUAUGAUGUGACCUGGGCAGGUUGGGAAGGAUGAAAGGAAGAGGAAGUUGGAGGGGGCCCUUUUCCAGGGAGGGUUAUACAAAGAGCUGGUGGCUCUACUUGUGUCUCUCUGCUUUAAGAUGAAAGGACCACUCUCCCCUCCCCUUGCACAGUGAUUUGCUUUUGUUUCAUGCUUGGAAUACUGGUUAAUAUGGCUUCAAUAUGUCACGUUCUUGGUGCCUGAGUGGCCAGGUGGUAUGCUGUGGGCAUUUUGGAUUCACAUAGGAUUAUGGGCUCUAUGUGUCCCCUCAAAAUUCUUCUGUUUCAAUCCUAACCACCAAUGUGAUAGUAUUAGGUGGAGCCUUUGGGAGGUAAUUAUCCCUUGUGAUGGAAUCUGUGCCCAUCCGGGAAGAGUAGGGAGAGAGCUUACUUUUUUCUCUUGCCAAUGAGAAGGUGGCCAUCUGCAAACCAUGAAGGAAACUUUCUCCAGACCGGAUCUGCAAGCACCUUGAUCUUGGACUUCUCAGGCUCAAGAACCAUGAGAAAUAAAUGUUUGUCAUUUGGUGGCUCAGCCUGAGGUAUUUGUUAUAGCAGCCCAAAGUGACUAAAACACACUGACUUGAGUUCAAACUGUGAGCCUGCUGUUAAACAGUUGAAUGAUCUUAAGCAAGCUGUUAAACUCCUCUGCAUCUUAGGGUCAAUUUUUUCUUUUUACUCUAGAAAUAGGGGCAAUGGUAAUAUUAAUCUCAUACAGUUGUUGUGAUGAUUAAAUAGGAUAAUAAUGCAAAGGAUUUAGCCCGUGCCUGGCAUUUAACAAGGGCCUAUAAAUGGAGUGAUAGUAACUCUUUCCUCCUUGCCAUGGGAGAGCAUUUGCUAUGGACAAAGGUCACACUGGUGUGUCCUUUCUUGCUGGAGGUCAGAUGUUGGGAACACCAAUAUGGCUCUGCAUUUUUGCAGCCAUAAGUUUCAGAACGUUCUGAUCCAAACGGGGGAUUUCACUGCCAAUUGGCUAAUGUUUGUCCCUUCCACAAGAACACAACGAGUCUUUCAUGGACAAACAAUGAAGUUUAUACCUCCCAUUCUUCCUGAUAAGAAUCCCUACUGCCUUCCCUUUUUUUUUUAAAGCUGAUAAUCAUCUAUGGCUUUCUAUGUGCAGGAGCUCUGUUGAACAACUUACUUGGAUUACCAAAUAAAUCCUCCCAUUUACCCUGAAAUAUGUACUAUUAUCAUCUCCUUUUUUAAAGAUUAAAUAAACAUUUUUGUUUAAAAUUUUUUAAGUAAUCUCUCCACCUGAUGUGGGGGUCAAACUUACAACCCUGAGAUCAAGAGUAACAUGCUUCACCGACUGAGUCAGCCAGGGACUCCUAUUAUCUCCAUUUAUUGAUAAGAAACUAGGCUUACUGGGUCACCUGAGUGGCUCAGUCGGUUGAACAUCCAACUUCGGCUCAGGCCAUAAUCUCAUGGUUCGUGAGUUCAAGCCCCACAUCUGGCUUGCUGCUGUCAGUGCAGAGCCCUUUUUGGAUCCUCUGUCCCCCUCUCUCUGCCCCUCCCCUGCUUGUGCUCUCUCAAAAAUAAAUAAACAUUAAAAAAAUAAAAGAAACUAAGGAACAAGGCUUACAAAGUGAGGUUGCCCAAAGUCACAUUUCGAAGUUAUUACAUAGUAGAACUGAGUUGUUUUUUUUUAAUUGUGGUAAAAUAUACAAAAUAUAAAAUUUAUCAUUUUAACAUUUUUAAGUGUACAACCCAGUGGUAUUCAGUAUUCACAAUGUUUUGCAACCAUCAUUUCUAUACAUUUCCAGAAGUUUUCAUCAUCCCCAGGGUUGAACUUUUCAAGCUGAGUUUGUUCAACUUCUAGUGUGUGAAAGGAAUGGUUGUGCAGUGGUUAAGAGCACAAAUUCUUUCAGGGUUCCAAUCUCAGUUCUGCCGUUGAUGAGUAUGAAGUUCUUGGAGAAGUUACUUGAUUUUUCUAGCACCUCCAUACUUUGAUCUGUACACAGAGGUUGAUUAUCAAUGGUACCUAUCUCAUAGAGUGGUUAUAAUAUUAAAUAACUUAAUCCAUUCCUGGAAAUAAUUUCCUUGGGAAAUGGUAGGCAUGCAAUGAGUAUUAGUUAUUAUUCCUCCAUACUGCUAAUUAUAGGGCGCUGUAGUAAUGACGGGUGGGGAGCUAGAACAUGAGCAUUGUGUGGAGAAGUGAAAUUAUAUUGCUUCCUGACAUAAUGCUGAUGGGGUUUCAUCAGGUCACUAAAAUCUUCUCUGAUGUUGAAAGGCAACAAGCUCUCUCUCAUCACUAGAUAACCAGGUAGCCUGAACAGGACACAGAGUGGGCUCCCCUGAAGAUGGAGAGCCUGGGAAGAGCUGGAGAAUGCAAACCUGGGUAGGUACCUUCUUCAAAACACUCUCCUCUGGUCUCCAGGGCAGGAGCGUAAGACUCAUGAGUUCCAUGCCACCCUCCACCUCCUUCCACAAUGGCAAGGAAUAGUUUUCAGAAUAUGUUAAAAUGUCAGAUAAAUACCCAGUGGACACACAGCAAAGUUUUAUUUAACUCAUUAAUGAGAGGGCCAGUGGAGAACCAGAGAGGAAGUGAAAGCUCUGGCUUAGCCAUGAAGGAAGACUUAAAUAAAUACCAUCUCUCACUGAAGGAAGGUGGGGGGGAGGAGCAAAGAAAAUUUGAGGUCAAAGGGACCUAUUUUUAAAAAAAAUUUUUAGGGGCGCCUGGGUGGCUCGGUCGGUUAAGUGUCUGACUUCGGCUCAGGUCAUGAUCUCAUGGUCCGUGAGUUCAAGCCCCGAGUCAGGCUCUGUGCUGACUGCUCAGAGCCUGGAGCCUGUUUCAGAUUCUGUGUCUCCCUCUGUCUCUGCCCCUGCCCUGUUCAUGCUCUGUCUCUCUCUGUCUCAAAAAUAAAUAAACGUUAAAAAAAAUUUUUUUUAAUAAAAAAAAUAAAAAAAAUUUUUAAUGUUUAUUUAUUUUUGAGAGGUGGGGGGAGGCAGAGAGAGAGGGAGACAUAGAAUCUGAAGCAGGUUCCAGGCUCUGAGCUGUCAGCACAGAGCCCCCAACAUGGGGUUCGAAUUCACAGACCGCGAGAUCAUGACCUGAGCUGAAGUCGGACGCUUAACCAGCUGAGCCACCCAGGCACACUGCUAUUUUUUCUUUUUUCCAUCCUAGAUAGAUGUCCACUGGCUCUCCCUAAGUCAGGAUUUCAUAGGCAAACUCCAUCACUUGAGAGCCUUUUAUCUCAUGUUGAUGUGUUGUUUUGAUUGCACUGGGUGUACAGUUGUGUGUUGAGUGCGUGAGGAACUUGGAAGGGGAUGGGAAAUUUGUUUUUAGUUCUGGUAGGGGCUGAUACUGCCCUUACAGAGGUGUAUGGUCCAUCCAUCUAGUAAGCGGACCUGCUAUAACCAAGAGAAAUGGGAAGAUUAGGACCUAGGAAGAGAAACAAUCAUCCUUCAUUCAUUCCAAGGCAUCCAUCGUCACCUACAGUGUGUCAAGCUUCACUGAAGCUCAUUGGAAGCUGUUGGAAAGUGUCUCCCCCACCAGGAUCAUGAGACUUUCUGGUGCUACUGUAUAAUGAGUUCCCUAAGUCAGCUAUACCAGGGCCUAUGUAACUCUUCCAAAGAAGGCAUGUCCAUCUGUAGUAAGAGAGAAGUCGUAAGCAGUGUGUCCGUGUCCUUUGUUGAAAUGUUCUUAUAAUUAUGCAGUGUUUAAAUUGUCAAAAUUUCCUGCUUGAAAAUUACACUUGACAUUUAUAUUUCUAGGCAAAAGUGGGGAAAAGAUCGUUCACCCAUGUUGCAACUAAUGUAAAAAGAACACCAAUUCAGUGUUAUUUUGGUAUUUUAUUUCUGUCCUCAGUGAAAUAAUAAGAGGGGACAGAACAUUUUCCCUCUCAGGACAGCUGUGAAUGGACAAUUGAAGAAAAACACAAGGAAGCAGAGACUGGAUACUGAGCAGAGCGACAUCAGACAAAGAGCACGGGCUUUGGGGUCAACAGAUCUGCAUUCAAAACCCAGAUCUAGCACUUAAAAGCAGUGUGGCACUGAAUGGGCUACUGUAAUGUCUCCUGUUUCUUCAUGGGUAAAGAAGAGAUGAUUCUUUACAAUCCUAGCCCAUAAUUCAGUGCCCAGCCAAGUGUAAGAACUCACUAUUUGUUCAACGGCACAUCAGACCCAACUGCAGUUUUCUGGGCACGUGGCUGGCAUCUAAGGACAGCCAGCCCCUUGGCAGUGCUGUCAUGCUGGUUAUUCAUUUGGAGAACAUUCACCAGAACUGCUUCUACCUUACUUUAUUUUCCUCCAGGUAACAUUUUAGUCCAACCAUUAUCAGCUCUCUUCUAGAUGAAAUACCUGAUGGGAUCUCCAAUGCUCAAGCAUGCAUUUGUGCUUCACACUCUUGCUGUAGUUCAGGUUUUCUGUUAUCAUUGCAUUCAGAAUCUGGAUGCCAUGAAUUACAGGUCUGUGGGCUGAACUGCAGACUUGUUCCUAUGUUAUUCUUCAUUUCUGACUUGUGGCCAUCCCCAUGAGGUUUAAAUGAAGACUCUGAGGUAGGAGCAGAGAGGUGUCAGGUUUGAGGACAGAAUUCAUUUGACAUGGAUGUUACAUGUGAUGAAGUCACCAUCUGGUAUAAUGAUCAGGGCAGAGGUCAGAGAGGGAGAUGUGGGUGUGAGAGCCUGCUAUGAGUGGGAGAGAAGCCACUGGAGGUCAUAGUCUGCCAAUAUUUGUCAGAUAAUCCUAUUUUAUUACCUGAAUGGUCUUGUUUGAUCCUGUUACAGUUUUGCAACAGCACAGGGUUACCCCUGCCACUCAUGGGCAGGCAGAGUUUUCUCCCAUCCAUACAAUGCUGAUGGAAUAGACACCAGAGAUACCAGCUCGAGAUACCAUUCAGAUUAAAUAAAUACGCCUUAAGGAAAACACUGUGACUUUGUACAAGAGAAUCUCCCUAGAUUCUCCUAAUUUUACAAUUAACAUCCUAAAACCCUGUGUAUUUUCUUUCUUGGAGCCAGUGAAAACUCAAGGCCCCAUGGAAAAGAAGCAAAAUAUGUCAAUAUGUUGGAAAAAAACCUCUAGGAUACACAAGCCAGCUGUUGGUUUGGAAAGUGGUGUCCUCUCAGUGCCAAUGACUUCUUUGUCCAAACAGAGCUUACCAGGGUAUAUUUACGGGUUAAUGAUUUUCAUAAUAAUUAAAAUAAAAAGCUGAUGAUUGUUUUUGACCCAUACAAGCCAAUUUCUUACAGUUCAACCUAACACAUUACCAUAUUCUAAGUUAAUGGCUGUUUUUUUUCAAGUUAGUAUUUGGAUUAAAGUUCCAAUACUGAAUUAGACUAAAAUAAUUAAUUGAAAGCAUAAGAGACAAGAAAAAGUAUAUGAAAACUUAAUUUAUUAGAGAAUAAUUUUUUUUUAUUAAGUAAAAGCUUUAAACAAAAACCAGUAAUUCCACAAACCAACAAUGACUCGGUAGCGUGCAAGUACUGUAGGCUGGAGAGGCAUGUUUGCUCUUGAUGAAUCUAUAUA